CAAAUGCUGGUAAGGAUGUGGAGCAGCAGGAACUCUCAUUCAUUGCUGCUGGGAAUGCAAAAUGCCACAGCCACUUUGAAAGACAGUUUGGUAGCUUCUUGCAAAAUUAAACAUACUCUUACUAUAAAAACCUGCAAUUGUACUCAUUGUUA
Molecule: long non-coding RNA, 152 nt
Organism: Sapajus apella (tufted capuchin)
Lineage: Eukaryota; Metazoa; Chordata; Mammalia; Primates; Cebidae
Exons: 4
Source: RefSeq, a predicted model, not a curated record